UUAGGAAUCUUGGACAAUGGGCGCAAGCCUGAUCCAGCCAUGCCGCGUGAGUGAUGAAGGCCCUAGGGUUGUAAAGCUCUUUCAGCGGGGAAGAUAAUGACGGUACCCGCAGAAGAAGCCCCGGCUAACUUCGUGCCAGCAGCCGCGGUAAUACGAAGGGGGCUAGCGUUGCUCGGAAUCACUGGGCGUAAAGCGCACGUAGGCGGAUUGUUAAGUCAGGGGUGAAAUCCUGGAGCUCAACUCCAGAACUGCCUUUGAUACUGGCGAUCUUGAGUCCGGGAGAGGUGAGUGGAACUCCGAGUGUAGAGGUGAAAUUCGUAGAUAUUCGGAAGAACACCAGUGGCGAAGGCGGCUCACUGGCCCGGUACUGACGCUGAGGUGCGAAAGCGUGGGGAGCAAACAG
RNAcentral lists this ribosomal RNA (403 nucleotides) under uncultured bacterium. RNAcentral describes it as "bacterial SSU rRNA". It matches the Rfam family "Bacterial small subunit ribosomal RNA", at positions 355 to 775 of the family's 1533-position model. The record is from RNAcentral.